GACGAACGCUGGAGGCGUGCUUAACACAUGCAAGUCGAACGAUGAAAUGGAGCUUGCUCCAUGGAUUAGUGGCGAACGGGUGAGUAACACGUGAAUAACCUGCCCUUAAUUUUGGAAUAACCCAGGGAAACCUGGGCUAAUACCGGAUAAGUAAACCUGUGGCAUCACCUGGUUUUGGAAAGUUUUUCGAUUAAGGAUGGAUUCGCGGCCUAUCAGCUUGUUGGUGAGGUAAUGGCUUACCAAGGCGACGACGGGUAGCCGGCCUGAGAGGGUGAACGGCCACACUGGGACUGAGACACGGCCCAGACUCCUACGGGAGGCAGCAGUGGGGAAUAUUGCGCAAUGGACGAAAGUCUGACGCAGCGACGCCUCGUGAGGGACGAAGGUCUUCGGAUUGUAAACCUCUUUCAGCAGGGACGGAGCGAAAGUGACGGUACCUGCAGAAGAAGCACCGGCUAACUAUGUGCCAGCAGCCGCCGUAA
This 482-nucleotide ribosomal RNA is filed under the name uncultured bacterium. RNAcentral's name for it is "partial 16S ribosomal RNA". It matches the Rfam family "Bacterial small subunit ribosomal RNA", at positions 28 to 523 of the family's 1533-position model. The record is from RNAcentral.